AAAUCAAGUGAAGGAAUGCUUGAGGGAAGAGACUCCUUGGUGGCCAUGGACACUGAUGUUGGACCUAGCCUAAGUGGGCAUUCUGUUGCCUAAAAGGAGCUCUCUCCUUUUUUACUGUCCUCAUCUUUUCUUGAGGAUCACUGGCUUCAUCUUCAUCUUUUCCUCAUUCCCUUGUAGAAUAGAGUUCUCUGAGUCCUGUCAUCACCAAGCUUCAGUCUUUACUCAGAAGUGUACUCUGCACAGUGUCUGCUGUGUCUGUGGGAAUCACCCCACCACUUCACAAGAUCUUCCUCACUGGACACUCAAAGGUUGGAUGCUCUUGUGCCUUUGCUGUUUUCCAUCUGUUGGGGAGAAAGCUUUGAACCGGAGUAGUAGUGGCUAUUUGUCCUCCUUGCCCGUGCUUUUGAUAUUUGAUGAUACUGCCCCCAUUUUAUAGAUGAAGAAAACGACUUCAGGUCCUAGAAGUCCAGAAUGAACCCUUGUCCUUUCCAGAGAUCACUGCAGGAGCCAUGAAGUGCUUUGUGCGUCUCCACCUACCCACCAGGCCCCUGGCUACCUACCCUGCCAUCCACAGUGCCCCUGUAUAAGGAAGGGGAGGUCACUCUUUGAAGAGAAAGCGGUUCCUGGGGGCGGGAGUUAGGUGAGAAUACUUGGUCUAAGUGAUCAGAACGGAGACUACUUCUGUGACAGCACUUCGAUAGGAACUAUGCCUCCUCCCAGGACAAGGGAGGGGAGGGAUCGCCGAGAUCGAGACCACCAUCGAGCUCCCAGGGAGGAAGAGGCCCCGGAGAAAUGGGACUGGAACUGUCCAGAGACUCGUUGCCUCUUGGAAGAUGUAUUCUUCCGCGAUGAGGACUAUAUCUGUCGUGGUUCAGAGGAGUGUCAGAAGUUCUGGGCUUUCUUUGAACGCCUGCAGAGAUUCCAGCACCUCAAGACCUCCCAGAAGGAGGAGAAGGACCCUGGGCGUCCCAAACAAGCCGUUGCUGCUUUAGCUGAUCUGCCUCGCACUUACGACCCACGCUAUCGCAUCAACCUCUCCAUUCUCAGCCCGGACACUCGGGGUCGUCAUGGGCCCGGCAGAGGGCUGCCCACCGAGAGGGUGUCGGAGUUCCGUCGUGCACUGCUUCACUACCUAGACUUCCAGCAGAAGCAGGCUUUUGGGAGGCUCGCCAAACUGCAGCAUGAGCGUGCGGCGCUUCCCAUCGCCCAGUAUGGGAACCGCAUCCUGCAGACUCUCAAGGAACACCAGGUGGUGGUGGUGGCCGGGGACACAGGCUGCGGCAAGUCCACUCAGGUGCCCCAGUACUUACUGGCUGCCGGCUUCAGUCACGUGGCUUGCACUCAGCCCCGGAGAAUCGCCUGCAUCUCACUGGCCAAGCGCGUUGGCUUCGAGAGCCUCAGUCAGUAUGGCUCCCAGGUUGGCUACCAGAUCCGCUUUGAAAGCACUCGGUCAGCAGCCACCAAGAUCGUGUUCCUGACGGUGGGGCUGCUCCUACGGCAGAUCCAGCGGGAGCCCAGUCUGCCCCAGUACCAGGUCCUGAUUGUGGAUGAGGUCCAUGAGCGACACCUGCACAAUGACUUCCUGCUGGGUGUCCUGCAGCGCCUGCUGCCCCAGCGGCCUGACCUCAAGGUCAUCCUCAUGUCUGCCACCAUCAACAUCUCUCUCUUCUCUAGCUACUUCAGCCACGCUCCUGUGGUGCAGGUGCCUGGGAGGCUCUUCCCCAUCACGGUAGUAUACCAGCCGCAGGAGGCAGAGCAGACAGCAUCCAAGUCAGAGAAGCUGGACCCACGGCCUUUCCUGAGGGUGCUGGAGGCCAUCGACAAUAAGUAUCCCCCCGAGGAGCGGGGGGACCUCCUUGUCUUCCUCAGUGGCAUGGCAGAGAUCAGCACAGUGCUGGACGCUGCCCAGGCUUAUGCCAGCCUCACCCAGCGCUGGGUGGUGCUGCCGCUACACAGUGCCCUCUCUGUGGCCGACCAGGACAAGGUGUUCGACGUGGCUCCAGCUGGAGUGCGGAAGUGCAUCCUGUCCACCAACAUUGCCGAGACCUCAGUCACCAUCGAUGGCAUCCGCUUCGUGGUGGAUUCUGGGAAGGUGAAGGAAAUGAGCUACGACCCGCAGGCUAAACUGCAGCGGCUGCAGGAAUUCUGGAUCAGCCAGGCCAGCGCCGAGCAGCGCAAGGGCCGAGCGGGCCGCACGGGCCCGGGUGUCUGCUACCGCCUCUAUGCCGAGUCUGACUAUGAUGCCUUUGCCCCGUACCCAGUCCCGGAAAUUCGCAGGGUGGCCCUGGAUGCACUGGUGCUUCAGAUGAAGAGUAUGAGUGUCGGGGAUCCACGCACCUUCCCCUUCAUCGAGCCCCCUCCACCUGCCAGCGUGGAAACUGCUAUCCUCUAUCUCCAAGACCAGGGGGCCCUGGACAGCUCGGAGGCCCUCACCCCCAUCGGGUCCCUGCUGGCCCAGCUGCCUGUGGAUGUUGUGAUUGGGAAGAUGCUGAUCCUGGGCUCCAUGUUCAGCCUGGCAGAGCCUGUGCUCACCAUUGCUGCCGCCCUAAGCGUCCAGUCACCAUUUACCCGCAGUGCCCAGAGCAACCUGGACUGUGCCACCGCCCGGAGGCCGCUGGAAAGCGACCAGGGUGACCCCUUCACGCUCUUCAAUGUCUUCAAUGCCUGGGUGCAGGUGAAGUCUGAACGAAGUGGAAACUCUCGAAAGUGGUGCCGCCGCCGGGGUGUGGAGGAGCACCGGCUGUAUGAGAUGGCCAACCUGCGGCGCCAGUUCAAGGAGCUGUUGGAGGAUCACGGGUUGUUGAGUGGGACCCAGGCAGUGGCCCCAGGGGACAGCUACAGUCGACUGCAGCAGCGCCGAGAGCGCAGGGCCCUGCACCAGCUGAAGCGCCAGCAUGAGGAGGGUGGGGGACGCAGGCGCAAGGUGCUUAGGCUGCAGGAGGAUGGCUGCUCCAGCGACGAGGACCACGAGGGCUCUGCCUCCCAGCGGGCUGACAGCGUUGACAUCCAGGAUGUGAAAUUCAAGCUUCGGCACAACCUGGAGCAGCUACAGGCAGCUGCCAGCUCAGCCCAGGACCUGAGCAAAGACCAGCUGGCCCUACUCAAGCUGGUGCUUGGGCGGGGCCUGUACCCACAGCUGGCUGUGCCCGAUGCAUUCAACAGUGGCCGCAAGGACUCGGACCAGAUUUUCCACACGCAGGCCAAGCAGGGCACCGUGCUGCACCCCACCUGUGUCUUUGCCAACAGCCCUGAGGUAUUGCACACACAGGGGCAGGAGGCCUCAGGCCAAGAAGGGAGCCAAGAUAACAAAGACCAAAUGAGCUGCAAGCACCAGCUGCUGGCCUUCGUCUCUCUACUGGAGACCAACAAGCCAUACCUGGUGAACUGCGUCCGCAUCCCGGCCCUCCAGUCCCUCCUGCUGUUCAGCCGCUCCAUUGACACCAAUGGUGACUGCUCCCGCCUAGUGGCUGACGGUUGGUUGGAGCUGCAGCUCACAGACAGCGAGAGUGCCGUCCGGCUCCUGGCAGCAUCCCUGCGGCUCCGUGCCCACUGGGAAAGUGCACUGGACCGGCAGCUGGCCCACCAGGCCCAGCGACGGAAGCUGGAACAGGAGGACGACGUGGGGUCUCCAGCACUCAGUCCCCAGGAGGUGGCUGCUCUGAGCAGGGAGCUGCUGCAGUUCAUGGCGGCCAAGGUGCCCUACCGCCUCCGAAGGCUCACUGGUCUAGAAGCCCAGAACCUCUAUGUGGGACCCCAGACAAUCACGACUGCCCCUAGUCUGCCCGGCCUCUUUGGAAAUUCUGCCCUGUCCCCACACCCCACCAAGGGGGGCUACACUGUCUCUGACUAUCUCACCUACAACUGCCUCACGAGUGACACUGAUCUGUACAGUGACUGUCUGCGUUCCUUCUGGACCUGCCCACACUGCGGCCUGCACAUGCCGUUCACACCCCUGGAGCGCAUUGCUCAUGAGAACACCUGCCCUGAGGCACCGAGUGACGGUGCAGGGUCUGAGGAGGCUGCUCCUGCACCACCACAGAAGACAUCGGCCCUGCAGAGGCCCUACCACUGCCAGGUGUGCAAGCAGGACUUCCUCUUCACUCCCACCGAGGUGCUGAGACAUCGAAGGCAGCACAUGUGAGCCAGUACUGCAUGGCCAGAGCUCCCCAGAGCACCCCAAAUGGGGGGCAGCGGGAAGCUCCUUAAAACGGAAAGUAAACGAAGUUGCUUCAGGAAGUCCCUAAAACUUACCAGACUCACUAGACCCCC
Molecule: RNA transcript, 4269 nt
Organism: Grammomys surdaster
Lineage: Eukaryota; Metazoa; Chordata; Mammalia; Rodentia; Muridae
Gene: Dhx34
Gene name: DExH-box helicase 34
Exons: 19
Source: RefSeq, a predicted model, not a curated record